UACAGCCAUUUUCUCCAUGGGUUGAUUGUGUGAGUGGCUGUGACCACCCUUUCCGCAAAGAAACAAGAUGAUAUAACUACCACCAAGGACUAUAAGCAAAAGGGAAGCCAGUUUGUGUACUGAUUCCUCACCAGCAAUUGUGUUUGUAAUGGUUAUUGCUGUUAUGCCUAGAAUAGAAGUGGAUAUUACAUGUAAUACUGCUCCAAAUGCAGUGACAAGAAGAGUACGAGAGAGAGUCCAUUUCUGAGCACGGCCAACAAUGGAGAAAGGCAACCAAUGUGUAGGUAUGAAAGAAUGUAAGAGUGAUACAGUAGCAAUUCCUCCAAUCGUCGAAAGAUCUUCUGCUGUAAACCCACUUUCCAUUUCGCAAAUUUAACAACACCCAACUCAAAAUCUUGGAUUAUUUUGAAGAUCCCACACUUCACCAGUGAGGUUUUG
RNAcentral lists this unclassified non-coding RNA (438 nucleotides) under Hevea brasiliensis (rubber tree). The record is from RNAcentral. Lineage: Eukaryota; Viridiplantae; Streptophyta; Magnoliopsida; Malpighiales; Euphorbiaceae.